GGGUUGUGAGGUUAAGCGACCAAGCGUACACGGUGGAUGCCCUGGCAGUCAGAGGCGAUGAAGGACGUGCUAAUCUGCGAAAAGCGCCGGUAAGGUGAUAUGAACCGUUAUAACCGGCGAUGUCCGAAUGGGGAAACCCAGUGUGACUCGUCACACUAUCAUUAACUGAAUCCAUAGGUUAAUGAGGCGAACCGGGGGAACUGAAACAUCUAAGUACCCCGAGGAAAAGAAAUCAACCGAGAUUCCCCCAGUAGCGGCGAGCGAACGGGGAGCAGCCCAGAGCCUGAAUCAGCAUGUGUGUUAGUGGAAGCGUCUGGAAAGGCGCGCGAUACAGGGUGAGAGCCCCGUACACAAAAGCGCAUAUGCUGUGAGCUCGAUGAGUAGGGCGGGACACGUGGUAUCCUGUCUGAAUAUGGGGGGACCAUCCUCCAAGGCUAAAUACUCCUGACUGACCGAUAGUGAACCAGUACCGUGAGGGAAAGGCGAAAAGAACCCCGGCGAGGGGAGUGAAACAGAACCUGAAACCGUGUACGUACAAGCAGUGGGAGCCUCUCUUUAUGGGGGGUGACUGCGUACCUUUUGUAUAAUGGGUCAGCGACUUAUAUUCUGUAGCAAGGUUAACCGCAUAGGGGAGCCGAAGGGAAACCGAGUCUUAAUUGGGCGUUAAGUUGCAGGGUAUAGACCCGAAACCCGGUGAUCUAGCCAUGGGCAGGUUGAAGGUUGGGUAACACUAACUGGAGGACCGAACCGACUAAUGUUGAAAAAUUAGCGGAUGACCUGUGGCUGGGGGUGAAAGGCCAAUCAAACCGGGAGAUAGCUGGUUCUCCCCGAAAGCUAUUUAGGUAGCGCCUCGUGAACUCAUCUCCGGGGGUAGAGCACUGUUUCGGCUAGGGGGCCAUCCCGGCUUACCAACCCGAUGCAAACUGCGAAUACCGGAGAAUGUUAUCACGGGAGACACACGGCGGGUGCUAACGUCCGUCGUGAAGAGGGAAACAACCCAGACCGCCAGCUAAGGUCCCAAAGUCAUGGUUAAGUGGGAAACGAUGUGGGAAGGCCCAGACAGCCAGGAUGUUGGCUUAGAAGCAGCCAUCAUUUAAAGAAAGCGUAAUAGCUCACUGGUCGAGUCGGCCUGCGCGGAAGAUGUAACGGGGCUAAACCAUGCACCGAAGCUGCGGCAGCGACACUUUAGUGUUGUUGGGUAGGGGAGCGUUCUGUAAGCCGUCGAAGGUGUCCUGUGAGGGGUGCUGGAGGUAUCAGAAGUGCGAAUGCUGACAUAAGUAACGAUAAAGCGGGUGAAAAGCCCGCUCGCCGGAAGACCAAGGGUUCCUGUCCAACGUUAAUCGGGGCAGGGUGAGUCGACCCCUAAGGCGAGGCCGAAAGGCGUAGUCGAUGGGAAACGGGUUAAUAUUCCCGUACUUGGUGUUACUGCGAAGGGGGGACGGAGAAGGCUAUGUUGGCCGGGCGACGGUAGUCCCGGUUUAAGCGUGUAGGCUGGUUUUCCAGGCAAAUCCGGAAAAUCAAGGCUGAGGCGUGAUGACGAGGCACCACGGUGCUGAAGCAACAAAUGCCCUGCUUCCAGGAAAAGCCUCUAAGCAUCAGGUAACAUCAAAUCGUACCCCAAACCGACACAGGUGGUCAGGUAGAGAAUACCAAGGCGCUUGAGAGAACUCGGGUGAAGGAACUAGGCAAAAUGGUGCCGUAACUUCGGGAGAAGGCACGCUGACACGUAGGUGAAGUGAUUUACUCAUGGAGCUGAAGUCAGUCGAAGAUACCAGCUGGCUGCAACUGUUUAUUAAAAACACAGCACUGUGCAAACACGAAAGUGGACGUAUACGGUGUGACGCCUGCCCGGUGCCGGAAGGUUAAUUGAUGGGGUCAGCGCAAGCGAAGCUCCUGAUCGAAGCCCCGGUAAACGGCGGCCGUAACUAUAACGGUCCUAAGGUAGCGAAAUUCCUUGUCGGGUAAGUUCCGACCUGCACGAAUGGCGUAAUGAUGGCCAGGCUGUCUCCACCCGAGACUCAGUGAAAUUGAACUCGCUGUGAAGAUGCAGUGUACCCGCGGCAAGACGGAAAGACCCCGUGAACCUUUACUAUAGCUUGACACUGAACAUUGAGCCUUGAUGUGUAGGAUAGGUGGGAGGCUUUGAAGCGUGGACGCCAGUCUGCGUGGAGCCGACCUUGAAAUACCACCCUUUAAUGUUUGAUGUUCUAACGUGGACCCGUGAUCCGGGUUGCGGACAGUGUCUGGUGGGUAGUUUGACUGGGGCGGUCUCCUCCUAAAGAGUAACGGAGGAGCACGAAGGUUGGCUAAUCCUGGUCGGACAUCAGGAGGUUAGUGCAAUGGCAUAAGCCAGCUUGACUGCGAGCGUGACGGCGCGAGCAGGUGCGAAAGCAGGUCAUAGUGAUCCGGUGGUUCUGAAUGGAAGGGCCAUCGCUCAACGGAUAAAAGGUACUCCGGGGAUAACAGGCUGAUACCGCCCAAGAGUUCAUAUCGACGGCGGUGUUUGGCACCUCGAUGUCGGCUCAUCACAUCCUGGGGCUGAAGUAGGUCCCAAGGGUAUGGCUGUUCGCCAUUUAAAGUGGUACGCGAGCUGGGUUUAGAACGUCGUGAGACAGUUCGGUCCCUAUCUGCCGUGGGCGCUGGAAGACUGAGGGGGGCUGCUCCUAGUACGAGAGGACCGGAGUGGACGCAUCACUGGUGUUCGGGUUGUCAUGCCAAUGGCACUGCCCGGUAGCUAAAUGCGGAAAAGAUAAGUGCUGAAAGCAUCUAAGCACGAAACUUGCCCCGAGAUGAGUCUUCCCUGAGACUUUGAGUCUCCUGAAGGAACGUUAAAGACGAUGACGUUGAUAGGCCGGGUGUGUAAGCGCAGCGAUGCGUUGAGCUAACCGGUACUAAUGAACCGUGAGGCUUAACCUUACAACGCCGAAGCUGUU
This 2933-nucleotide ribosomal RNA is filed under the name Salmonella enterica subsp. diarizonae serovar 47:k:z35. RNAcentral describes it as "23S ribosomal RNA". It matches the Rfam family "Bacterial large subunit ribosomal RNA". Lineage: Bacteria; Pseudomonadati; Pseudomonadota; Gammaproteobacteria; Enterobacterales; Enterobacteriaceae. The record is from RNAcentral.